UGAAGACUUUAUUGGUUAUACGUUUGCUGUACAUGUUGUAAAAAAGCAGAAGAUGCCAUUCAACAAAUAUGAUUAUUCCAAUGUAGAUAACGAUGAUAACGUCAUAGCUUUGAAAACAAGUCAUGCAUUAAAAAAACUAGCGUGGUAUCGAAAAGAUGAAUAUAAUACACAAUGUUUAUUUCUAUAGAAUAUCACCCAUUACUUUCAGCUAUCACAGUCAUGAAGAUUUGAAUUUAGCACUUAAGAAUCAAGUACGUUUGGAGUUUUGUGUCAUUUUUGCUUCUUUUUUCCAUGUACGCGUUCAAUGCUUAUUACAGACUUCCAUCAGUAGUUUACUCGUUCAGCUUUUCAUGAAAAUACCAAGCCCUUUAACGCAUUUCGAAUAAAGAAUAAAGGUAAAGAUAGAGUAAACACCAACAUUCACAAGCACUUCAAAUUGAGUAAACCAUAGUAAACGUCUCUUUUUUGCAUGCUGAUCAGGCUUUGAGAAUCCGUCUAUGUGUGACAAUCAAGUAAAAGACAAUAUCAGUAAAAUUACAGAUCAGACUUAUGUAUUGAUAUUUGAAGAAGGAAACAAAAGUCCGCUAAUCUGCCGAGACAUUGCCACAUCAUAUCUUUCAACCAAAUAUUGAUCGAAGUGGAACACUCAUGCUCUUCACUUACAUACUGUAUUUGGCCUUUUAACUCUCUUGAUUUGGGCGUCAAUAACGCGUCUCUCGUAAAUUAAAACUGCACAUAAUGAUAAUUUGAGAUAUUUUUUGUCGUCGUUGACCGCAGCAUAAUCCUCCUCAUAUUUUGUUGAUUUUAUAUCUCCUUGGUAACAGUCUGAAAAACGUCAUUUAACUUUCCAAGUUUUUUGAUAUUUUAUCUCCGUCAUUAGGCAGUUGUCUGCUACUAAAUUGUGCUCAUUUACAAACAACAUAAUUUGAACAGUACUCAGAUGGUAGCAUGAAAUCCAGCAUAAGAAUAAUUUGUUGUGUUGACAUUUUUUAUGACUCCUGCUAUGCAUUCAUUAUCUGCUAAUAUGCAAUGUACAUACAAGUUCUCCAUUUGAGAUCUCCGAUGUUUUCAAAACAAAAACACACUUCCACAAGUCUGACGUUAUCUGACAGAUGACACACGUUUUCUGUUCAAGGUUGAUUCGUAAAAUGAACGACUUAUUUGUAUAAUAUUUUUGAAUUCAUAUCAGAUAAUCAAACGAGAAAUUGCUUAUCGUCAUAAAUGUACUCAUUUGUGUUGUUUGACUAGCAAGUGUUCUAAUUAUU
RNAcentral lists this long non-coding RNA (1265 nucleotides) under Mytilus galloprovincialis (Mediterranean mussel). Lineage: Eukaryota; Metazoa; Mollusca; Bivalvia; Mytilida; Mytilidae. The record is from RNAcentral.